CUGGCUACUUAUCUGAAGGACAGAAUGAAUAUCUUCUACUAUAAGCUUCUUCACUGAAUCGGUAGGUCCCUUUUCUGGUGGGUCGACCGUGUCAACCUCAGACAAUUUGAACUGUACACUACUUUCAAUUGCUGCAUGUUUCAUUAUAUCAUUGAUACUUUUGGGGCUUAACCCUUGUAGUCUUGGGCUUGAAUUCCCAUCUGGUUUUCCCUGGACAGCGUUAGCGAUGGCUAGAUUCUGAUCAACAGAGUCAACUUGAUUGAAGAACUCAUGAACUUUGGAAGAAACAUCUAUUGGAAGACCAUCUUUCUCCUCCAAGCCCGAAAAAUCCAUCAAGUCAACAGACGAGGCAGCCUCCAUAUCCGAGAAGAGAAGCUUCACAAAGAAAGUACUCUUUGUGAGUACUAAUUCACAAAGGAGUAACCAUAUACCAUGUAAAGAGAAUAUGAGCCACAUGAGUAUAUACCUCAACUCUGAACUCCUUCGGGAAUUGUUCUUUUAAAUGCCAUAAUGUGUCAACCUCGUCACGGUUAAGCAUCAAAAUGUUUGAUCUAAUAAAAGCUGUGUUGAAAGCCACUCGAAACAGCAUCGCCUCUCUUUCCAUGUCAUCGUUUAAAGUAAGGCACUCAAUCACGAUAUCACCUUGCACAUGACAAUUGAUGUCAAUUUUGACUAGUUCACAUUCUGCCUGCAAAACACAAGGGUCAAGAAAACAAACAGAGAACAGCUAUUGAAUCAUUUUGCAAACAAGGACAAAGUAAGCGAAAAAGCAAAGGAACAAACAGCAACAGAGUGAUCACAAUUAUCUCUUUUUUGAUAAGACCUUAAGAUGAAGAUGCAACGUGAACUAUAUAGCAUAGGCUAAGUCAGAGGUCAUGAAUUAUUAAGGAAAAUAUGACUUUGCCGUGAAAAAUACCUGCUUGUAGAUCCACGGGUGAUUUCCUUUCUUGAGAGUAGAGAAUAAAAGCUUGGACCUUUUAUCAUCCACAAAACUCGGAUCCUGACCAUAUACUCGGAAGAUUGGACGACAGGCUCCUUGUCCACUAACAUCAGCAAUAAAAUUCAAAAUAACACAAUCCAUGGUGAGAGCCACAUCCAGUGGAGGCCAUUCGGAGACCAAAUUCCUUCUCGACAAGUACUGCAGAUAACGUAGCUGAGAAGGAAUUGGGUUCAACGGUGAGAACAAAUGCAGAAGCUCACGAGGAGCACGCUUGUAGAUCAUGUCCAAGGUCUUGUACUCACCACUGUACUGCUUCCGGUAAAUAAGAAGAGCAGCUAGCGUGAAAGCUAAAACAGGCCAAGCCCCGCGUUCACAAUGCAUUAGCAACAAGUUAUUUGGGCCAAGUGAGAGCCAGAUUUCACUGGACCGGAGAAAAUGGUGCAUCACUUUCACAGGCAACAAUGAGCAGCCUUCGUAGUGGCGAGGAUAAUCCAUUAUGGUCAAACCAUGUUCUGACAAGACAUCAGCCAUCACACUCCGAGCACCCACUUCACGGAAAUUAAACACAAGAGAGGAUGCGUCCGGGAAGUGUUCUUGUAGUUGAUUGACCACCCCAGCUACAUAGACUUUGUAGUUUUCUUCUUCCAAACAAUCAGUGGAUAAGCAGCAGUCAAACACUGCAAACGCACAGAGAACUUAUGUCUUCAGAAUCCUAUUUUAAGCAAAGGACGCAAGCAAUAGUACGAUCCGACUAAAGUUAUCAAAUUUCUCAGAAACAUCGCAGAAUGCGAGACCGUAAAAUAAAAAAAGGGCCAUAAUUUAACACAAAGCAGUGCAAAGUCCGGAUCUUUAUCAGAAAAAAAAUUGAUUCACAAGACUGGGAAGUAGAGUCAACAAGGCAAGAUAGACAAAUGAAGCAGAGAAUUGGGAGAAACAGACCGAAAACUCUGUCGGAUAUCUCGAGCAAACCAUCUGGAGGUUUGCGGUAGAACAAUUUGCGAAACAAGGCCAUCUUUUCAAAAAUCCUAAACCCUUUUUGCUCGCGUUCAGAAUCGAAAAGGUCAACUGGCGCGUUUAAUGACGUGAAUCUCACCACCAUCAGCUGUCAUCUCUGUACCUGACAUGACAGGUGUUCUCUGAACUGGCGAAUUAAUGUUUCUAAAUCUCAGGUUCUUGUUAAAAUCUUCAAGAAGUACUACUACAUGCUAGAUAUUUACAGGAUUUGUUUCCUUCUUUUAAAUCCUUUCUGCACAUUGACUUGCCUUUAAGACUACAUCAAUAGUAGAGCUUCAAAGAUUGAUGCACUUGUUGGCCUGUCAAUGCGCGAGAAUGGUAAUCAAAUUAGCAUCCAUUGGAGAUGAACAAGAGAAGAGGACGCCAUUGGAGAAGAAUAACAAACCAGAAUUGCGUUUUUGUUAUAACCUCUAAACGUCGUCGUUCCCAUGACUUUUGUUUUGCUAUUCUAUUUUGUCUUCUUAGAAUUAGAUACACACCCUGAGCCUGAGCAGUUCACUGAUGAACAAAAAUAAAACGCAUAACGCUACAAAGUGGAAAGAACAAGGAACUGGACAUUUAUCCUGCACUGGUCUAGUUCACCAAGAAAAGAAUGCCUCUUUCUAUUACUUACUAGUUACUAUUAUUGUACCAAUCAGUUAUUAACUCUGUUCUUCCCCUUCCUUUCCAUCUUCUACUGUGAGUCUGUGACCAACAUGUAUGAUGUAUUUUGUUUAUUGCUUUCUAGUUACAAUAUUUUUUACACUUAUAACUAUUUUACACGUUAAUAUUUCCGUUAGGUGACAAGUUAUAAGAAGGUAAAAAUAGCGUGGUCUCUAAGCAUCUUAUAAUCUAAAAGCCCGUUUUUAGCAGUCUCACGCCUUCACCGUUCCGGUUCAGUCCAGUCCUGAGCCGUUUCCUUCCGUGCCAUCUCAAAACGAAUGGAAACAAUCUGUUUUUCAAGCGGCGCCUCCUUCCUUCUGUGGCUCCCUCGUUUCUUUAUCUAAACCACUUGUUUUUGUUUUCUCCUUCUUUAUUUCUUCCUCCAAUGUCUUUCUGCUUUCUUUAUCUAAUCCACUUGUUUUUGUUUUCUCCUCCUUUAUUUCUUCUUCCAAGGUCUUUCUGCUUUCUUUAUCUAAUCCACCUGUUUUUGAUUUCUCCUUUUCAGCACUCUUCUUAGCUUCUGCCUCGAGUUGUUUUCCGUUUUCUUCAUGCGCUCGAUUGAACAACCUUACAAAGUUUAGAAGAGUCGACACCACUGCAAUUUACAAACCACUAGAUAGAUUCAAUCAACUUGGUAGCACCCUGUUUCACAUAAAGACUACAUAUAUAGGGUAUGCAUACCUUGUUCAAAAGGGCACUUAGCAGGGUCUUCACCAAAGUAGAGAAUUAAGCCAUCCACAUUUCUUCCCUGCAAUUCAUAAACUUGAUUUAUUCUGACCAUCUUUCAACCAACAAUAGAUCAGGAGCAUGUAACUUAUCUAUUGCACAUUGGAUUUGUUUAGAGACAUACCACUCCCGAAUAGAUUGAAGCCAAGGACCUUACUUCUGCUUCCGCAUAAUGAAGGAACUCCUUCAAUAUCUGAGAAAAAUAAAAAGAACUCAAUAGAUAUGAUCAAACAAGAACGAGAACGAGCUUAGUCAGUUAUUGUCUUCCUAACUUUCCAUGCAGCCACAUUGCCCACACAUGUGUUGCCUGGUUCGCUAGUUAGUACCUAUCUAGCUGCCCUGAAAGUUGUUACAGAGCACAUUCACAAUUCACUAGCCACAUAAUUCUGGAAUCACAGCCCAUACUAUCUAUACUCGUUUUCCUGCUUUCCUUUCUUGAGGGACUUGAUUAUUCUCCCAGUAAACAGUCUCCGUUUCUUAUGUAGAUUUAUUUCCGUAUAUAUAUAUAUAUAUAUAUUUUUUUUUUUUGGUUUGAGAAAGCCUUGAAGAGGCAUUUAGUGAUGGAUGACAGAUAUACCUUAUUAAAGUUAUGUGAGAUUGGGCCAUCAUUUUCAGACAAGGAGAGUUCUUGUACGACUUUCUCCAGUCCCUUGUUUAUAGCUUGCAUCUCCUCAGCCAAAAACUUGAGUUGAAUCUGUAUCAAAGUUUAGAAAAUCAACACUUUUUCAAGCUUUUUUAUCGAUCUACACAGAAAUUGCAAAUGAAAUGAAAGCUAGAUACCUUUGUUGCAGACUCCAGUGAGGAUAAAUCUUUUGUGAAAUCUAUAACUUCUGGCAUUUUCUCAGCAAGAAUCUGCAGAGAAUUCAUCAGACUAUAUCUCUCUCUAUUUCGAUCUAGUACAUCCAUAAAGCUACAGAAUCGCAGACUAUGAUAGCUUACCUUGCAUAGAUAAUGCAUCAGAGUCGUACGGUUAUUACGCGCCCGUGUUUCACUGAGUUUUGGCAGACUGUCCAAUUUAAACCCAACCGCAGCACCUAAAGAGAAACUACUUUGAGAGCAGGAUAAAAGAAAAACAUCCAGAGUUCAUACGUUCCAUUUUCAAACUCACCCCUAGCCGUCCCCUGGUUUAGGGCGUUCCCAAGGGACAAAAUUGUCUGCAUUGUUCUUUUGAAUUUUUCAGAAUUCUUUAUCUGAUGAAAAGAUGAACAAAAGAGCAUUGGUGAGGUAUGUUUUAAUCAUGUUGGGAGGUAACCUAGACGACCCAGUUGAAUAUGACUUACUUGUUCUGCCGCGGAGUUGACAACACCUAGACUAUUCCUGAGUUCAGAAAUCUAAAAAAGUGGUCAACAGUGACCUUAAGUACCAAAAUAAAGCUCCACGUAAUCGUAAUUAACAGGGUAUCAGUUUUCAGACCUGAGAUCGAAACUGAAUUUUGAAUGAGAAUACUCUGAGCUUUGUUUCUACUCGUGGGACUUUCAUCAUCUCUAAGAAGAACUGUUCAAACAAUUUCAGGAAUCAUAAUUAGUGUAUGGCUACUCCAAUAAAACCAAAAAGUAUUCCAAGUUAAGUACCAGUUCGCAUUUUCCUAGCUUAUCCUUGUCACCAUUGUAACCCUGCAAACCAGGCAUAAAAUGAAGAUAAAUUAAAGGAGCAUGCAAAAGGUGGAAAGCAGAACACCCUUAUUUAUUCUAGGGAGUUCUGGUUUUGGGAAUUAAAGCAGCAGAACAUUAGGGAGUAUACUUCUUAUACCUUUAGUAAUUCCAUUUCUUCUCUUGUUGGACAAAACUUAAUUAAGUUCUCAACCUGAUCAGCAUCAAGAGCCGAUUCCUCCAGGUUAAGCACUGAGUACUGCCAAUAUUUUGAGACAAUGUAGCUUUUAAUUGUCACUGACAUUUUACAGAUUUUAAAUGCUAUCAUUACAACACAUCCUAAACCUGUAGAGCUUAAUAUUACCAUCAAAUCCUGCAAAGGUACUUUCACUUUUGAAAGCAUAAUUUCACAAUUAUAUGCUCGCCUGUGUUCAAUCUGCAAGUUGAAGUUUCUCAUUAUAUUCAGUAUGUUCAACUAUCAAAAUAACAAUCAUUUCAUGGGAAAACAUAACAGAAUCGACACAAACAAGGACACUAUGACAUACGAUUAACUCUUAAACACAUAAUUUACCAGUUGGACUUUCUCGGGUUUAGGUCCACGAGAGCUAUUUAGUCUCGACUUCCCUGCUUGCUCUGGAGUAGAUGCGGAGAAAAGACUUUCAAGCUCUGUCAUGUCAAUCUCAGGAGCCCUAAACAAACAGGUAAAGAGUUACUGGCUUAGAAAUUAUACAAGAACCGGAGGUAUCAGAGAAAUAACUGACGACAAGAUGAACAAUGCGUACUUAGAUGCUUCACUCGACAUUUGUGUUUCAGCCCACAAGCUCCCAUUAACAGCUCUUGUAAGUUUCAACCAGUAGUAUGGCUUCAACUUUUUGGUUUGAUUAUUCUUUAAAUUUACACGUAACAUUCUCCCUUUUCCUGAUGAAAGAGAUCCAGUUGGUAAAGCAGGUGUUGGAGGCACACUAGUACCAGAAGAUGGGGAUGAAUUGGUUCCUAACUUUGGAGGAGGAGGAGGUGGUGCUGAUGGUGACUUCAUCUGACCUAAAGGUGGGGGAGGUGGUGCUGACGGUGCCUUCAUCUGACCUAAUGGUGGUGGAGGUGGUGCGGUUGGAGGGGCCGGAGAGGCAGAAGAUGUAGGAAGCCGUGGAGGUGUUGGAGGAGCUGGAGGAGGAGAGGCAGAAGAGGUAUGAAGCGGUGGAGGUGUUGGAGGAGCUGGGGGAGGAGAGGCAGAAGAGGUAGGAAGCGGUGGAGGUAUAGGAGGGGUAACUCUAGCGACUGUGUUCUGGUUUGAAUGCUGCAUUGGAGGAGGAGGAGGAGGGGGAGGAAGAGGUGGUCGAGGAGGAGGUGAAACCACAUCAUUGGGAGCUCUUAUUGGAGGUGAAGGAGGACAAAAAGAACCUAAUGUCUCAGUUUGGGAUGGUUUGGCAGGAGUAGCUACUAAUGCAGGAGAUGGCCGAAGUGACGACGGAUUUUUUGUUUUAGAAGACUCCUGAGGAGAAACAUGGGAUGCAGGAGGAAGCAGAGGAGAUGUUGGAGGCGGUGCCAUGGGAACUUUUUCAUUUGAAGGUGUUCGAUGAAAUGUAGAGCCAGCUAAUGACACCCAGGCAUUUCCCUGUGAAAGUCUCUCUACCGGUUGGACAACAGAAUGCUGCAAUUGCUCUGAAGGUUGAGAAGCAACAGUUGGAGGUGGAGGAGGUGGCGGAGGUGCUCCUUUUGGAGCCAAUGACGUUCUUGCAGGAUGUGGUGGUGACGGUGUGGAUGGCGAAAACGAGACCGCUUUCCCAUCGUUUGCUGAAGGAGGACUCUUCAGAAUGAUCUCCUCAGCAUUUUCAGAAGUGCCAGAACCGUCCACAAAAGGUUUAACUGUUGCCGAAUGAUGCACAAGCUUGAGAGAAGGGGACUCUUGACGUGAACUAUCUGUUGCAUCCUGGCUGGUGGUAUCUGCCUGGCUACUUAUCUGAAGGACAGAAUAUAUAUCUUCUGCUAUAAGCUUCUUCACUGAAUCGGUAGGUCCCUUUUCUGGUGGGUCGACCGUUUGAACCUCGGACAUUGAAGACAAUUUGAACUUUCCACUAUUUUCAAUUGCUGCCUGUUUCAUUAUAUCAUUGAUACUUUUGGGGCUUAAGUUUUGUAGUUUUGGACUUGAAUUCCCAUCU
This 7067-nucleotide long non-coding RNA is filed under the name Eutrema salsugineum. Its description in RNAcentral is "long non-coding RNA (ESAL_LNC001152)". Lineage: Eukaryota; Viridiplantae; Streptophyta; Magnoliopsida; Brassicales; Brassicaceae. The record is from RNAcentral.